CUCGUGAAUUCAUCUCCGGGGGUAGAGCACUGUUUCGGCAAGGGGGUCAUCCCGACUUACCAACCCGAUGCAAACUGCGAAUACCGGAGAAUGUUAUCACGGGAGACACACGGCGGGUGCUAACGUCCGUCGUGAAGAGGGAAACAACCCAGACCGCCAGCUAAGGUCCCAAAGUCAUGGUUAAGUGGGAAACGAUGUGGGAAGGCCCAGACAGCCAGGAUGUUGGCUUAGAAGCAGCCAUCAUUUAAAGAAAGCGUAAUAGCUCACUGGUCGAGUCGGCCUGCGCGGAAGAUGUAACGGGGCUAAACCAUGCACCGAAGCUGCGGCAGCGACGCUGAUGCGUUGUUGGGUAGGGGAGCGUUCUGUAAGCCUGUGAAGGUGUGCUGUGAGGCAUGCUGGAGGUAUCAGAAGUGCGAAUGCUGACAUAAGUAACGAUAAAGCGGGUGAAAAGCCCGCUCGCCGGAAGACCAAGGGUUCCUGUCCAACGUUAAUCGGGGCAGGGUGAGUCGACCCCUAAGGCGAGGCCGAAAGGCGUAGUCGAUGGGAAACAGGUUAAUAUUCCUGUACUUGGUGUUACUGCGAAGGGGGGACGGAGAAGGCUAUGUUGGCCGGGCGACGGUUGUCCCGGUUUAAGCGUGUAGGCUGGUUUUCCAGGCAAAUCCGGAAAAUCAAGGCUGAGGCGUGAUGACGAGGCACUACGGUGCUGAAGCAACAAAUGCCCUGCUUCCAGGAAAAGCCUCUAAGCAU
This 747-nucleotide ribosomal RNA is filed under the name Escherichia coli. Its description in RNAcentral is "partial 23S ribosomal RNA". It matches the Rfam family "Bacterial large subunit ribosomal RNA", at positions 881 to 1629 of the family's 2925-position model. Lineage: Bacteria; Pseudomonadati; Pseudomonadota; Gammaproteobacteria; Enterobacterales; Enterobacteriaceae. The record is from RNAcentral.